Molecule: ribosomal RNA, 433 nt
Filed under: uncultured bacterium
Lineage: Bacteria
Description: partial 16S ribosomal RNA
Rfam family: Bacterial small subunit ribosomal RNA
Source: RNAcentral
AGCGAACGCUGGCGGCAGGCCUAACACAUGCAAGUCGAACGAACUCUUCGUACUUAGUGGCGGACGGGGGGGUAACACGUGGUAACUUGCCUUUUGGUUCGGAAUAACUCAGUUAAACUUGUGCUAAUACCAAAUGUGCCCUUCGGGGGAAAGAUUUCUCGCCAUUAGAUCGGCCCGCGUCUGAUUAGCUAGUUGGUGAGGUAACGGCGCACCAAGGAGACGAUCAUUAGCUGGUCGGAGAGGAUGACCAGCAAGACUGGGACUGAGACACGGACUAGAAUGCUACGGGAGGGAGCAGUGGGGAAUACUGCGGAAUGGGCGAAAGCGUGACGAAGCCAUGCCGGGGGAAUGAUGAAGGUCUUAGGAUUGUAAAAUUGUUUCACAGGGGACGAUAAUGACGGUACCCGGAGAAGAAGCCCCGGCUAACUACGUG